This 503-nucleotide ribosomal RNA is filed under the name uncultured Glomus. RNAcentral's name for it is "SSU rRNA". It matches the Rfam family "Eukaryotic small subunit ribosomal RNA", at positions 569 to 1077 of the family's 1831-position model. Lineage: Eukaryota; Fungi; Glomeromycota; Glomeromycetes; Glomerales; Glomeraceae. The record is from RNAcentral.
AGCAGCCGCGGUAAUUCCAGCUCCAAUAGCGUAUAUUAAAGUUGUUGCAGUUAAAAAGCUCGUAGUUGAAUUUCGGGAUCAAUUUACUGGUCGUGCAAUCGUACGUACUGGUUUUAUUGAUUCCUCUCUUCUGAAGAACUAUGAUGUCAUUAAUUUGGUGUCAUAGGGAAUCAGGACUGUUACUUUGAAAAAAUUAGAGUGUUUAAAGCAGGCUCACGCUUGAAUACAUUAGCAUGGAAUAACGAAAUAGGACGUUUGAUUCUAUUUUGUUGGUUUCUAGGAUCGACGUAAUGAUUAAUAGGGAUAGUUGGGGGCAUUAGUAUUCAAUUGUCAGAGGUGAAAUUCUUGGAUUUAUUGAAGACUAACUACUGCGAAAGCAUUUGCCAAGGAUGUUUUCAUUAAUCAAGAACGAAAGUUAGGGGAUCGAAGACGAUCAGAUACCGUCGUAGUCUUAACCAUAAACUAUGCCGACUAGGGAUCGGAUGAUGUUAAUUUUUUAAUGA